Molecule: long non-coding RNA, 418 nt
Organism: Ixodes scapularis (black-legged tick)
Lineage: Eukaryota; Metazoa; Arthropoda; Arachnida; Ixodida; Ixodidae
Exons: 2
Source: RefSeq, a predicted model, not a curated record
UUCGAUCCGGCUGUUAUAUUAAUGACGCGCCAUCAACCUAUUAGCACGUCAAGCAAAGCGGUAGUUCAGAGGGACAACUAAGCUAACCGACGGCAGCAUUCCGCGAACGCAUCACUCUUCACCAGUCCGGGACCCAGGACAUAUGGCGGUACAUCAGCCUUGCAAGUGUUUUUAUGUGCGCCGACAGUAUGCCGACAGCAUCGAGGUUUCUACAUAUCCCCGGUGGCCAGCAAUUCAACGGUGACGAGAACCUUAGCUUUACGCUGAAGCAGUGCCGCUGCGUCUGGUGCUGACCGCGACGGUCGGUCGAUGCAUCCACCAAUGGAAAAGAUAGUACAAGCGCGGUAUACGAAUCAACCUUGCCGAUGUCAUCUGCAGAAGUCGCAGAAACGAGAAAUAAACAAACACUUAUUACAAA